RNAcentral lists this ribosomal RNA (253 nucleotides) under uncultured bacterium. RNAcentral's name for it is "partial 16S ribosomal RNA". It matches the Rfam family "Bacterial small subunit ribosomal RNA", at positions 524 to 776 of the family's 1533-position model. The record is from RNAcentral.
UACGGAGGGUGCGAGCGUUAAUCGGAAUUACUGGGCGUAAGGCGCGCGUAGGCGGUUUGUUAAGUCAGCUGUGAAAGCCCCGGGCUCAACCUGGGAACUGCAGUUGAUACUGUCCGACUAGAGUACGAGAGAGGGAGGUAGAAUUCCAUGUGUAGCGGUGAAAUGCGUAGAUAUAUGGAGGAAUACCAGUGGCGAAGGCGGCCUCCUGGCUCGAUACUGACGCUGAGGUGCGAAAGCGUGGGGAUCAAACAGG